Molecule: long non-coding RNA, 1424 nt
Filed under: Apteryx owenii (little spotted kiwi)
Lineage: Eukaryota; Metazoa; Chordata; Aves; Apterygiformes; Apterygidae
Description: lncRNA (ENSAOWG00000013744.1)
Source: RNAcentral
GAAAAAGAAAAGUCGUAGCUACGCAACUCUUCUGACCGGUGAGUCAGGCGCCCUUGUGAGGCGGCGGGCGGUAUGGGAAACGCUGUAUCAGCGGUAGAAAAGGCCACGUUGGAAAAAUUGGUACAAGUGGCAGCACAAACAGAUCGACAGGUGGAGCGCCAGGCGCUGGUGGACUUGCUGUGGUGGAGAAGGCGGCGCGGUUUGUUACGGGAGUCCAGCCAGGUCUUCAGCGCGGAAGCCUGGAAGGAGGUUGGGAAGGAACUGUGGGAAUCCAUCCAGAAHGGAGAAAAAGAGGCCAGGCGUCUGGCCAAAACAUAUCGAGACGUGCGGCUCAUGAUCGAACAGCUGCACGGGGAGGCACAGGCGACCGCUGCCAUACGGAGGGCACUGCAGGCGGAGCCCUCCGCGGCGGCACUUUCGCCGGGGAAUGAGGACGAGGGAGCGGAGUGCGCGGUGCCCGUCUUUGACACACCAUCCUCGGGGGGGCCCUCGGUGAUAGAUGAGCCCUCCCCGCCAUGUGCGGCACCUCUCUCUAAGCUAGAGCGGGAGGCUUGGGGGACUGGCACAGGRUAUGAGGACUUGCCACCGUACAAGAAAGGGGACGUUGCUGACGCCUUUGCCGCCCCCCCUGAGCCGUCCGCUCCCCCCAUGGAAGUGGAUCUGGCCGCUGUGCCAUUACCUGAGGAGGAAAGCGUUGAUCUGACUGAAUAUUCAAAAAAAAUGGAGGAACUGUUGGAGGAAAUGAGGAGGUUGGAUAGGGGGUCGAAAAAGGCGCAUGUGAGGGAGGCGUAUAAGAAGGCGCAUCAGGCUAUUGUGGACGGCCUGAAAGCGGUUGAGGAACGGUUCUCCGGGGAUCCUGCCGGCGGAUCCCAGGAGAACCAAGAGAUCGCCCCCAGAGACUGGGUGAUUACCAACAUACUCAAAGGGACGUGGUCCCUUGAGCAGGCGGAGCARCAUCUGCAAGCCUGGAAAAAAAACCCUUUAACACAAAAGGAAUAUCGAAUGAUUUUGGACCGUUUACCGAGAGCACCGGAGAAAGCCCUACCACCUAGGGACCCUGACUUUGACAUGGCAAAAAGGUGGCACGGGAUCAUUCAGAAUGCUGAACUGGUUGGGGACAUGCAGUUUUUCCCUAUAGUAGCCCCGGUGGUGACCACGGGUCAGGGACAGACGAGGUGGGAGCCUCUGGAUUGGCAAGUGGUAACAAAGCUGCAACAGUUGGUAAUGCAGUACGGGAUAAAUAACCACCAAGUGCAAGCGCAGCUGAGCGCCCUGGUAAAAUAUCAAAACCUGGUGCCGAGCGACAUCCGCGCCCUUGCCGAACUGAUUUUGGGGCCCACCUCUUUGCUGGUGUUUYUGAAUAAGUGGCAGGAACUGCUUGAUCAAUGCCAAUUAUCCAAUUUGGACUUACCGGCAGAUGACCC